This is a long non-coding RNA of Canis lupus familiaris (dog), 793 nucleotides long. RefSeq lists it as uncharacterized. Lineage: Eukaryota; Metazoa; Chordata; Mammalia; Carnivora; Canidae. The record is from RefSeq and is a predicted model, not a curated record. The transcript has 3 exons.
GGCCCAGCAGGGCUUGGGGGACAGGCCUCCGAGCGGGUCAGGCUGUUGCUCACAGGCGUCGGCUUGUGCUGGGCUUGAACCAGUGCCAGGUGCUCUGGCCUCGGCAGGAAUCUGCCAUCAGCAGUGGCCUAGGAGGUACCGCCAGGCCCAGCGUGGGCCAGGAAGCCGCCCUCGCCAAGAGUGUGCCCAUGAGCAGUGGCUCCAGAGGUGGCUCCUUCCCGGGCUGGGGGUAGUGCUGGGGGCUGGCGCAGGUUGGACAUGCAACGUUGCCAAGGACUUGAUCACGGGAUCCCAUAGAGGGGGCUGAUUCCUAUAGGCUGUGUUUUCCAGGCUUCUGGGAUGACUGGUUUCCAGCUGGGUUUGGCCCAUGGGAGGCAUUGCUGGGAGACUGGAGGUUGGGAGAUGAGGAAGCUGAGGCUUGAAAAGUGGAAGGAUACUACCCUAAGUUGCCUGGAAAGAAAGCAGUGGACCUGGGAUUUAAACCUGGAUCCAGUUACUCCAAACCCUGACCUCUCUGCAACAUGAUGUAAUAAAGACCAUGUAUGUAGCAUGUGCUAAGUUCUUUGGAAGCACAGUGCAGAGAGUUAUUAAUCAGAUGGGGGAAAAAUCAGGGAAGAGUGCCUGGAAGAGAAGAUAUUUGAAUUGACUCUUGAAGGGUGAAUAAAAUAUCAACUGGUAGAAAAAGAGGAUAUUGGAAUUGAGGAGGGAAAAGAGAGAAGUAACAUAUGCUUUUAUUUGCUUGCCCCAAAGCAGUCAGUCACUGACCUCUUUCUACCUUCUAACGGAACCUUAA